GCAAGUCGAGGGGUAGCAGGGAGCUUGCUCCGCUGACGACCGGCGCACGGGUGCGUAACGCGUAUGCAACCUACCUCUUACUGGGGAAUAGCCCGAAGAAAUUCGGAUUAAUGCCCCAUAGUAUUUGCUUUUCGCAUGAUUAGCAAAUUAAAGGUUACGGUAAGAGAUGGGCAUGCGUCCCAUUAGCUAGAUGGUAAGGUAACGGCUUACCAUGGCAACGAUGGGUAGGGGGCCUGAGAGGGUGAUC
RNAcentral lists this ribosomal RNA (247 nucleotides) under uncultured bacterium. Its description in RNAcentral is "partial 16S ribosomal RNA". It matches the Rfam family "Bacterial small subunit ribosomal RNA", at positions 57 to 305 of the family's 1533-position model. The record is from RNAcentral.